ACGAACGCUGGCGGCGUGCUUAACACAUGCCAGUCGAACGGAAAGGCCCUGCUUGCAGGGUACUCGAGUGGCGAGCGGGUGAGUAACACGUGGGUGAUCUGCCCUGCACUUCGGGAUAAGCUUGGGAAACUGGGUCUAAUACCGGAUAGGAGCCAUCUUUAGUGUGGUGGUUGGAAAGUUUUUUCGGUGUAGGAUGAGCUCGCGGCCUAUCAGCUUGUUGGUGGGGUAAUGGCCUACCAAGGCGGCGACGGGUAGCCGGCCUGAGAGGGUGUACGGCCACAUUGGGACUGAGAUACGGCCCAGACUCCUACGGGAGGCAGCAGUGGGGAAUAUUGCACAAUGGGCGCAAGCCUGAUGCAGCGACGCCGCGUGGGGGAUGAAGGCCUUCGGGUUGUAAACUCCUUUCGCUAGGGACGAAGCUUUUUUGUGACGGUACCUAGAUAAGAAGCACCGGCUAACUACGUG
Molecule: ribosomal RNA, 465 nt
Filed under: uncultured bacterium
Lineage: Bacteria
Description: partial 16S ribosomal RNA
Rfam family: Bacterial small subunit ribosomal RNA
Source: RNAcentral